GAAAUGACGACAACGGAAGAAGCUCCCAAAUCGCCGCUUUUCGAGGCAAUCGACAAAAAUGACACUGAAGCAGCGCUGGCACUGCUGAAAACGAAGGAACAAGCCGCUCAACGGGAUCCCAGUGGAAUGAGUGUGCUGGCAGCUGCCGCGUAUAGGUAUGCACCUUUAAAGCGGCGACGGUUACUGUAUCCUCGCAGAUUGUUUAAAGGUACAUACCGUAAUCCGUUGAAUUUCAGAGGAAAUCUUACGUUGGUCGAGAAAGCGAUUGAGCUGAAAUGUGAUGUGAAUGAUAAAACCGAUGGAACUCUGUACACUCCACUCAUGUUUGCCGCCUUAUCAG
RNAcentral lists this small RNA (340 nucleotides) under Caenorhabditis elegans. Its description in RNAcentral is "Unclassified non-coding RNA Y48G1A.8". Lineage: Eukaryota; Metazoa; Nematoda; Chromadorea; Rhabditida; Rhabditidae. The record is from RNAcentral.